CCCUUAGAUGUUCUGGGCCGCACGCGCGCUACACUGAUGCAUUCAACGAGUCUAAAACCUGGUCUGAUAGGGCUGGGUAAUCUUUUGGAUGUGCAUCGUGAUUGGGAUAGAUGAUUGCAAUUCUUCAUCUUCAACGAGGAAUGCCUAGUAAACGCAAGUCAUCAGCUUGCAUUGAUUACGUCCCUGCCCUUUGUACACACCGCCCGUCGCUCCUACCGAUUGAAUGUUCCGAUGAAUACCAUGGACUGAGAGUAUGAAUGGGUUCGCCUAUUUCUGCUUCUCGGGAAGUGGAGUAAAUCUUAACAUUUAGAGGAAGGAGAAGUCGUAACA
RNAcentral lists this ribosomal RNA (330 nucleotides) under uncultured eukaryote. Its description in RNAcentral is "partial 18S ribosomal RNA". It matches the Rfam family "Eukaryotic small subunit ribosomal RNA", at positions 1470 to 1796 of the family's 1831-position model. The record is from RNAcentral.